Molecule: non-coding RNA, 259 nt
Filed under: Leishmania major strain Friedlin
Lineage: Eukaryota; Euglenozoa; Kinetoplastea; Trypanosomatida; Trypanosomatidae
Source: RNAcentral
UCGCGACGAAGCGUGGGGCUCAAGUGCGGACAUGCUCCGCGGUGUGAUUCUGCAACGGCGGACGUGCGUGGGGUGGGCUGCUCCGUUUCCGGCCUGACCCGGUUCCCUCGCUUCAACGGCGGACCCGCGCCACCCUCUGCAGGGGGGCAAGCCACACCGACACACAGCCAAGCAGAGCACCACGUCAACGCAGCAAAUCACCCUCGCUGGUCCACGUCCUCCCCGCUAAGCCUGGUUAGCCCCCGAAGGUUACAGAGCA